GAUGAACGCUAGCGGCAGGCCUAACACAUGCAAGUCGAACGGUAACAGAUCUAGCUUGCUAGAUGCUGACGAGUGGCGCACGGGUGCGUAACGCGUAUACAAUCUACCUUUAACUGAGGCAUAGCCCAGAGAAAUUUGGAUUAAUACCUCAUAGUAUUAUAUUAAGGCAUCUUUUUAUAAUUAAAACUCCGGUGGUUAAAGAUGAGUAUGCGUCCUAUUAGCUUGUUGGUAAGGUAAAAGCUUACCAAGGCUACGAUAGGUAGGGGGCCUGAAAGGGUGAUCCCCCACACUGGUACUGAGACACGGACCAGACUCCUACGGGAGGCAGCAGUGAGGAAUAUUGCACAAUGGAGGAAACUCUGAUGCAGCCAUGCCGCGUGCAGGAUGAAUGCCCUAUGGGUUGUAAACUGCUUUUAUACAAGAAGAAACCUCGGUACGUGUACCGACUUGACGGUAUUGUAUGAAUAAGCACCGGCUAACUCCGUGCCAGCAGCCGCGGUAAUACGGAGGGUGCAAGCGUUAUCCGGAUUUAUUAGGUUUAAAGGGUCCGCAGGCGGAAUAUUAAGUCAGUGGUGAAAGCCUACAGCUCAACUGUAGAACUGCCAUUGAAACUGUUAUUCUUGAGUAUGGAUGAAGUGGGCGGAAUAUGUCAUGUAGCGGUGAAAUGCAUAGAUAUGACAUGGAACACCAAUUGCGAAGGCAGCUCACUAAACCAUUACUGACGCUCAUGGACGAAAGCGUGGGGAGCGAACAGGAUUAGAUACCCUGGUAGUCCACGCCGUAAACGAUGAUCACUAGAUGUUGGCGAUAUAAUGUCAGCGUUCAAGAGAAAUCGAUAAGUGAUCCACCUGGGGAGUACGUUCGCAAGAAUGAAACUCAAAGGAAUUGACGGGGGCCCGCACAAGCGGAGGAGCAUGUGGUUUAAUUCGAUGAUACGCGAGGAACCUUACCAAGGCUUAAAUGUAAUAUGACCGGUUGAGAGAUCAACCUUUUUUCGAACAGAUUACAAGGUGCUGCAUGGUUGUCGUCAGCUCGUGCCGUGAGGUGUCGGGUUAAGUCCCAUAACGAGCGCAACCCCUAUUUUUAGUUACCAGCGAGUAAUGUCGGGAACUCUAGAAAAACUGCCUGUGCAAACAGAGAGGAAGGUGGGGAUGACGUCAAAUCAUCACGGCCCUUAUGUCUUGGGCUACACACGUGCUACAAUGGUUACUACAAUGUGAUGCCAUCUGGUGACAGAGAGCUAAUCAAUAAAGGUAAUCUCAGUUCGGAUUGGAGUCUGCAACUCGACUCUAUGAAGUUGGAUUCGCUAGUAAUCGUAUAUCAGCCAUGAUACGGUGAAUACGUUCCCGGGCCUUGUACACACCGCCCGUCAAGCCAUGGAAGUUUGGGGUACCUGAUGUCAGUAACCGCAAGGAACUGCCUAGGGUAAAACAAAUAACUAGGGCUAAGUCGUAACAAGGUAGCCGUACCGGAAGGUGUGGCUGGAAUAUCUCUUUUUUUGAGUAAAUUCUUUUGUUUGGUUUCUAAUUCUAUCUUCUUUUUUACUUUUUUCCCUUUAGAGUCUCGUAGCUCAGCUGGUUAGAGCGCUACACUGAUAAUGUAGAGGUCGGCAGUUCGAGUCUGCCCGAGACUACAUUUAAAAAGGGGGGAUUAGCUCAGUUGGUUAGAGCGCCUGCUUUGCAAGCAGGAGGCCAUCGGUUCGAAUCCGAUAUUCUCCACAAAAAAGUUCUUUGACAUAUUGUAAUGAAUAUAUAUACUUAAUAUUUASAAAGUUAUUAAGGGCGUAUGGCGGAUGCCUUGGCUCUCAUUGGCGAUGAAGGACGUGACAAGCUGCGAUAAGUUUCGAUUAGGUGCAAAUAACCUUUGAAUCGAAAAUUU
Molecule: ribosomal RNA, 1878 nt
Filed under: uncultured marine bacterium
Lineage: Bacteria
Description: bacterial SSU rRNA
Rfam family: Bacterial small subunit ribosomal RNA (bases 1-1497)
Source: RNAcentral